GAAGGAAGGCAGAAGACGCUGCCAGGUAUAUAGCGCCUUACCUUAUAAGGACAGCGGUGGUCUCAGGGUCAAAGUGCAUUUCAGUGAAGACGGCGCAGUCAUUGAGCCCUUGUGCUGUGUGUCCUUCUGUCUGUCUGUCUGUCCUCACUCGUCUCUCUUCUUCUCCACAGGUUGUGGUCUUGUGGUCUCACCUCGGUCUGCUGCUCAGCUCUCUCCUCGGUCCUCUCGUCUCCAAACUCACGGCUGACUGAACUGAACCUGAAUGACAACAAACUGGGAGAUUCAGGGGCUCGUCAGCUGAGUGAGGGGCUCAGGAGUGACAACUGUAAAUUAAAGAUACUGGGGUUUGACUCUUGUGGUCUCACCUCGGUCUGCUGCUCAGCUCUCUCCUCGGUCCUCUCGUCUCCAAACUCACGGCUGACUGAACUGGACCUGAGCAACAACAACCUGGGAGAUUCAGGGGCUCGUCAGCUGAGUGAGGGGCUCAGGAGUGACAACUGUAAAUUAGAGACACUGUGGUUGGACUCUUGUGGUCUCACCUCGGCCUGCUGCUCAGCUCUCUCCUCGGUCCUCUCGUCUCCAAACUCACGGCUGACUGAACUGGUGGCUGAGCAACAACAACCUGGGAGAUUCAGGGGCUCGUCAGCUGAGUGAGGGGCUCAGGAGUGACAACUGUAAAUUAAAGACACUGGGGUUGGACUCUUGUGGUCUCACCUCGGCCUGCUGCUCAGCUCUCUCCUCGGUCCUCUCGUCUCCAAACUCACGGCUGACUGUACUGGACCUGAGCAACAACAACCUGGGAGAUUCAGGGGCUCGUCAGCUGAGUGAGGGGCUCAGGAGUGACAACUGUAAAUUAAAGACACUGUGGUGAGUAAAGAGGGGGAGGGGUGGGGGUGUGAAUGUGUUAUUGAUGGGCGGGCUGAUCACAUGACAGCACAUGGAGUGACCAGAGUGACAGUGACAAGUGGAGCUGACUGAGGUGACAGACAGGAAGGACAACAAAGAUAAGGAGAGACAGACAGAGGAAGAUGAGGAGGAGGAGGAGUGUGAGAUGGACAAGAAGAAGAAGAAAUGGACAGCAGCUGAGUGUCCAGCCAGAGACAGGGGGACAAGGACACAGGG
This is a long non-coding RNA of Polypterus senegalus (gray bichir), 1122 nucleotides long. RefSeq lists it as uncharacterized. Lineage: Eukaryota; Metazoa; Chordata; Cladistia; Polypteriformes; Polypteridae. The record is from RefSeq and is a predicted model, not a curated record. The transcript has 4 exons.